UUUGUUAUAUGUUAUUUUUUAAUACACAUUUGUGUUUUAAAUUCGUAGUUUCCACACGCAUAUGUGUUGUAAGAGGCCCAAUUUGCCCGAGCCCGAUACAGAUAUUAAAAACCAAUAAUAAGCAAUCCAAUCCAAUAAUGUCAGUCCAAUUACAAAAGCCUAAUACACUUUUCAAGCCCAAUUACAGUCCCAAAUACAUGGCCCAAAUCACUAAACCCAAUAGCCCAAACCCGAAUUAGCAGCCGAUAGCCCAAAGAAAAAAAUCAGCAUGCAAGGAACCCUAGAGGAUUCUCGCGCCGCAAGCUGCCGCAGCCAAGCCGCUCCUCACGCACGAGCCUCCGUCCAUGCGCCGCGCCGAGCCAAGCCACCGCCAAGGACCACGCUUGCACUGUGCCACGCGAGCCUCCGUACAUGCGUGCCCGUAUACCUGCAACCAGACGCACACAGCAACAAAAGCAACAAAGCAGAGACAGAACGCAAAAAGAAAAAGCAGAAUAGCAGAAAAAUAGGAGAAAAAAUGAUGUAUGUUUUAAUUUUAUUUUCGAUUUGGCUAUAAAGCCAUUUUGGAGAAUCUGUAAAACUCACGCAUAUUAUAUAAAAAAUUGAAAAAAAGAAAUAAAAACGGAGAAGGUAACUCCUUCUUUUCCUUCGAAUUUUUCUUUGUUUUUUUUCUCUGUUCUUCUAUUUUGUUAUGGUAUAUAGAUAUAUAAAUAAAAAAGGGAGAAAGGAGACCCUUACCUUCGCAAGGGUACGUCGUCGGAGCUCCGUUUCCUCCGCCCAAAUCGGAGUUAGACGGAGUUUUGGGGGUUUGGAGGCGGCCAAACAUGAGAGAGCCUAGGGUUUUCCCUUUUAACCUUUGUUUUAAAAUGAAGGGAGGCUACUGUUUUUUAGAUUUUUC
RNAcentral lists this long non-coding RNA (898 nucleotides) under Gossypium raimondii (Peruvian cotton). Its description in RNAcentral is "long non-coding RNA (GRAI_LNC005095)". Lineage: Eukaryota; Viridiplantae; Streptophyta; Magnoliopsida; Malvales; Malvaceae. The record is from RNAcentral.